CUUAGUCUUAGCUCGCUCCACUCCUCAUUCGAGAGUGAUUGAAGUUUGAAAAUGUCCAUUGCUGUCAAUGCACAAGUGGUGAUAAGGUACGGAACUCUUCCAUUUAUAUGAGAUCAUACCUCCUGAUUUUGCUGGUUUCUUAAAGAUGUCCAUGUCUGUCUUCUGUCAUGUCCUUAAUGUCCAUAUGUCGUCCAAGGUGCUGAUGUAUUCUUCCGUUUCCAUUUUCAUUGCAGUAGAUAUGUCGUCACUACUGGGAUAUUGGACCUCUGCUUUCAUCACUCUGUAGCAUCGAUAAAGUGGCAAAUACUCUACGGAUGAACCUGUUGCCACACUUGUUGCUGUUGCACUGCUAUUUGGUGAGGCUGGUCUGAAUAUGAAAUGUUUAUCAGUGGUGAUGCACAGCUUGCAGGAAUGAUAAGACCUACAAUUCUUUGUCCUUCAGUACUCAAAACAAUUUCACUUUUGUGGAUGGUUCCCAGAGUUGUCCAUUUACCAUCUUAAAUGGUAUUACCAAACUGAGCAGUCCUUUUGAAAUGCACAUUACAUAAUGUCUUUGGAAUCUGUCCUGAAAUUAUGCAAGACAUGACUACAUCUGGCACUGUCAAGUAAUCCACAGCAACAUCUCUGCUUUUUGUCACUCUGUAGCAUCGAUGAAGUGGCGAAUACUCUGCAGAUGAAGCUGUUGCCACAUUUGUUGCUGUUGCACUAUUUGGUGAAGCUGGUCUGAAGAUGAAAGGUGGUGUACCAGUGGUGAUGCACAAAGACCUACAAUUCUUUGUCCACCUUUACUAAUUAAAAGUGAACAAUUUGCAUUUUUACAUUUACUGCACUAUCAGAUCCUAGAAUACAUUCAGCUUUGGUUCCCACACUUAGUAAGGAGCUGCAAAGAACAUGGUAUGUGACAACCCACUCCGAUUUCACAAGGUAAUCUCACACCUGCUUUUUUGCAGUUGCCUCUCCAAUAUGCAUGAGUGCACAUUUCAGCUGACUACUUGUACAGAUCCACACAGUGAGGCAUAGCAUCAUCAGAUGACUUGUACAGAUCACCCAAUGAGGCAUAGCAUCAUCAGAUGACACCUUUUUGUACUUCUUCCUUAGAUUACUGUACGUCUCCAACUUGAGUUGUUUCCCAAUGUUUGCAGAAAAUUUGAAAGGGGUCAUCCAGUGUUUCACUUUUCACAAAUUUCAACAAAUAACUGACUUUAUUAAUAGUGGCAAUGUUUAUUCAUAAAACCUGUUCACAAGGGUGCAGCCAGGCACAGACCUUUGCAGAAUUCAAGCAUAUUUGUCCUAGUUCUUGUUGUACUUGGUUUCCAUAUCAGGAGGUGUAGGCUGUCAGGCCAAGAUUUUUCUUUUGUGUAAUAAACAAACCUUCUGAACAUAA
Molecule: long non-coding RNA, 1384 nt
Organism: Protopterus annectens (West African lungfish)
Lineage: Eukaryota; Metazoa; Chordata; Ceratodontiformes; Protopteridae
Exons: 2
Source: RefSeq, a predicted model, not a curated record